Molecule: transfer RNA, 76 nt
Filed under: Clostridia bacterium
Lineage: Bacteria; Bacillati; Bacillota; Clostridia
Also listed under: 1 other name
Description: tRNA-Thr
Rfam family: tRNA
About the family: Transfer RNA (tRNA) molecules are approximately 80 nucleotides in length. Their secondary structure includes four short double-helical elements and three loops (D, anti-codon, and T loops).
Source: RNAcentral
GCUGAUGUAGCUCAGCUGGCAGAGCAAUUGAUUUGUAAUCAAUAGGUCGUGGGUUCAAAUCCCUCCAUCAGCUCCA